CUUAAGCAUAUCAUUAGCGGAGGAAAUGAAACCAACAGGGAUUGCCUUAGUAACGGCGAGUGAAGCGGCAUCAGCUCAAAUUUGAAAUCUGGCUCUUUCAGAGUCCGAGUUGUAAUUUGCAGAGGGCGCUUUGGCGUUGGCAGCGGUCCAAGUUCCUUGGAACAGGACGUCACAGAGGGUGAGAAUCCCGUACGUGGUCGCUGGCCUUCACCGUGUAAAGCCCCUUCGACGAGUCGAGUUGUUUGGGAAUGCAGCUCUAAAUGGGAGGUAAAUUUCUUCUAAAGCUAAAUACUGGCCAGAGACCGAUAGCGCACAAGUAGAGUGAUCGAAAGAUGAAAAGCACUUUGGAAAGAGAGUCAAAUAGCACGUGAAAUUGUUGAAAGGGAAGCGCUUGCAGCCAGACUUGCCUGUAGUUGCUCAUCCGGGCUUUUGCCCGGUGCAUUCUUCUGUAGGCAGGCCAGCAUCAGUUUGGGCGGUUGGAUAAAGGCCUCUGUCAUGUACCUCCUUUCGGGGAGGCCUUAUAGGGGAGGCGACAUGCAACCAGCCUGGACUGAGGUCCGCGCAUCUGCUAGGAUGCUGGCGUAAUGGCUGUAAGCGGCCCGUCUUGAAACACGGACCAAGGAGUCUAACAUCUAUGCGAGUGUUUGGGUGUCAAGCCCGAGCGCGCAAUGAAAGUGAACGGAGGUGGGAUCCCUUAAGGGUGCACCAUCGACCGAUCCUGAUGUCUUCGGAUGGAUUUGAGUAAGAGCAUGGCUGUUGGGACCCGAAAGAUGGUGAACUAUGCUUGAAUAGGGUGAAGCCAGAGGAAACUCUGGUGGAGGCUCGCAGCGGUUCUGACGUGCAAAUCGAUCGUCAAAUUUGGGCAUAGGGGCGAAAGACUAAUC
Molecule: unclassified non-coding RNA, 884 nt
Filed under: Neopyrenochaeta annellidica
Lineage: Eukaryota; Fungi; Ascomycota; Dothideomycetes; Pleosporales; Neopyrenochaetaceae
Description: sequence contains 28S rRNA gene
Rfam family: Eukaryotic large subunit ribosomal RNA
Source: RNAcentral